RNAcentral lists this ribosomal RNA (750 nucleotides) under uncultured Actinomycetes bacterium. RNAcentral describes it as "bacterial SSU rRNA". It matches the Rfam family "Bacterial small subunit ribosomal RNA", at positions 36 to 798 of the family's 1533-position model. Lineage: Bacteria; Bacillati; Actinomycetota; Actinomycetes. The record is from RNAcentral.
CUGGCGGCGUGCUUACACAUGCAAGUCGAACGAUGAAGCUGGAGCUUGCUCCGGUGGAUUAGUGGCGAACGGGUGAGUAACACGUGAGCAAUCUGCCCUUGACUCUGGGAUAACUGCGGGAAACUGUAGCUAAUACCGGAUACGACGCCUUGGGGCAUCCCACGGGCGUGGAAAGAAUUUCGGUCAAGGAUGAGCUCGCGGCCUAUCAGCUAGUUGGUGAGGUAAUGGCUCACCAAGGCGACGACGGGUAGCCGGCCUGAGAGGGUGACCGGCCACACUGGGACUGAGACACGGCCCAGACUCCUACGGGAGGCAGCAGUGGGGAAUAUUGCGCAAUGGGCGAAAGCCUGACGCAGCAACGCCGCGUGAGGGAUGAAGGCCUUCGGGUUGUAAACCUCUUUUAUCAGGGAAGAAGCGAAAGUGACGGUACCUGAAGAAAAAGCACCGGCUAACUACGUGCCAGCAGCCGCGGUAAUACGUAGGGUGCAAGCGUUAUCCGGAAUUAUUGGGCGUAAAGAGCUCGUAGGCGGUUUGUCGCGUCUGCUGUGAAAAUCUGAGGCUCAACCUCGGACUUGCAGUGGGUACGGGCAGACUAGAGUGCGGUAGGGGAGAAGGGAAUUCCUGGUGUAGCGGUGGAAUGCGCAGAUAUCAGGAGGAACACCAAUGGCGAAGGCACUUCUCUGGGCCGCUACUGACGCUGAGGAGCGAAAGCGUGGGGGGCGAACAGGAUUAGAUACCCUGGUAGUCCAC